UGGGGAAUAUUGGACAAUGGGGGCAACCCUGAUCCAGCGAUGCCGCGUGUGUGAAGAAGGCCUGCGGGUUGUAAAGCACUUUAGUGGGGGAGGAAACUGAUGUUUCGAAUGGAGACAUCAGAUGACGUUACCCCAAGAAUAAGCACCGGCUAACUCUGUGCCAGCAGCCGCGGUAAUACAGAGGGUGCGAGCGUUAAUCGGAAUGACUGGGCGUAAAGGGUGCGUAGGUGGUUUUUUAAGUUGUUUGUGAAAUACCCGGGCUUAACCUGGGUGCUGCGAACAAGACUGGAAGACUAGAGUAGGGUAGAGGGAAGUGGAAUUUCCGGUGUAGCGGUGAAAUGCGUAGAUAUCGGAAGGAACACCAGUGGCGAAGGCGGCUUUCUGGACCCAUACUGACGCUGAGGCACGAAAGCGUGGGGAUCAAACAGG
Molecule: ribosomal RNA, 429 nt
Filed under: uncultured bacterium
Lineage: Bacteria
Description: bacterial SSU rRNA
Rfam family: Bacterial small subunit ribosomal RNA
Source: RNAcentral